AGUCGAACGGUAAGUAGUGUAGCAAUACAUUGCCUAGAGUGACGUACGGGUGCGUAACACGUAUGCAACCUACCCAGAACUGGAGUAUAGCUCGGGGAAACCCGAAUUAACCCUCCAUAAGAUCAUGGUGAAGCAUUUCACAGUGAUUAAAACUCCGGUGGUUCUGGAUGGGCAUGCGUCUGAUUAGUUAGUUGGCGGGGUAACGGCCCACCAAGACGAUGAUCAGUAGGGGAACUGAGAGGUUGAUCCCCCACACUGGCACUGAGAUACGGGCCAGACUCCUACGGGAGGCAGCAGUAGGGAAUAUUGGUCAAUGGAUGCAAGUCUGAACCAGCCAUGCCGCGUGCAGGAAGAAGGCCUUCUGGGUUGUAAACUGCUUUUGUCAGGGGAUAAAAUCACCUUGCGAGGUGAAUUGAAGGUACCUGGCGAAUAAGCCACGGCUAACUACGUGCCAGCAGCCGCGGUAAUACGUAGGUGGCAAGCGUUGUCCGGAUUUAUUGGGUUUAAAGGGUGCGUAGGCGGUCCCAUAAGUCAGUGGUGAAAUACUCUAGCUUAACUAGAGGGGUGCCRUUGAUACUGCGGGACUUGAGUGAAGUCGAAGUANGCGGAAUUGACGGUGUAGCGGUGAAAUGCUUAGAUAUCGUCAAGAACACCGAUAGUGAAGACAGCUUACUANGCUUAUACUGACGCUGANGCACGAAAGUGUGGGGAUCAAACAGGAUUAGAUACCCUGGUAGUCCACACUGUAAACGUUGAUUACUCGCUGNUGGCGAUACACUGCCAGCGGCUAANCGCAAGCGAUNAGUNAUCCACCUGGGGAGUACGCCNGCNACGGUGAAACUCAAANGAAUUGACNGNGGUCCGCACNANCGGUGGA
Molecule: ribosomal RNA, 877 nt
Filed under: Sphingobacteriaceae bacterium kmd_314
Lineage: Bacteria; Pseudomonadati; Bacteroidota; Sphingobacteriia; Sphingobacteriales; Sphingobacteriaceae
Description: bacterial SSU rRNA
Rfam family: Bacterial small subunit ribosomal RNA
Source: RNAcentral